GUACACUCCUGCGGGAGGCAGCAGUGGGGAAUAUUGGACAAUGGGCGCAAGCCUGAUCCAGCCAUGCCGCGUGAGUGAUGAAGGCCCUAGGGUUGUAAAGCUCUUUCACCGGUGAAGAUAAUGACGGUAACCGGAGAAGAAGCCCCGGCUAACUUCGUGCCAGCAGCCGCGGUAAUACGAAGGGGGCUAGCGUUGUUCGGAUUUACUGGGCGUAAAGCGCACGUAGGCGGACUAUUAAGUCAGGGGUGAAAUCCCGGGGCUCAACCCCGGAACUGCCUUUGAUACUGGUAGUCUUGAGUUCGAGAGAGGUGAGUGGGAUUCCGGGUGUAGAGGUGAAAUUCGUAGAUAUUCGGAGGAACACCAGUGGCGAAGGCGGCUCACUGGCUCGAUACUGACGCUGAGGUGCGAAAGCGUGGGGAGCAAACAGGAUUAGAUACCCCAGUAGUCCCA
This 450-nucleotide ribosomal RNA is filed under the name uncultured organism. RNAcentral's name for it is "partial 16S ribosomal RNA". It matches the Rfam family "Bacterial small subunit ribosomal RNA", at positions 331 to 797 of the family's 1533-position model. The record is from RNAcentral.